AUAAAUAAAUAAAUGAAUAAACAAUUUAUACACAACUUGACAUUUUGCUGAUCUGUCUUUACAAGCUCAAUGUUCUGUUAUAUUAAAUACAGCGAAAUUCUUCCCGUGCGGCCAUCUCGUAUUGAGAAAUUUUCAAAGAUUUUUACGCGGAGGAAGACUCAAUUUCAAACAUUCGAGGAUACUAUAGAAGGCGAUGCUGAUGCCCCAAUCUCUCUGAAUAAAUUAACCAGCCAGUUAGCUCUGGAAAAAUCUUUACAAUUGAUUAGCAAAUUGCGCUCGCAGCAAGUUGACGUCAAAUCUUGCCUAUCCGAGAACAUAAAUCACCCCGAAACAAUAAAUUUCGUUGCUGAACCUUCUCCUCCGUUGAAAUCUGGGGAACGUCAUUCGUCAUUUACGAAAAUAUCUUCCUUUAGUACAACACCAAGCAGUUUUAAAAGUGUUCGUAGGAACCAACGAUUUGCUGAAGGAAAGCCUCAAGUGCUAAGACGCAGUCGACUAAGUCUUGACGAGCCGAACAUUACUUUUAUGAUCAAUCCAAAUUGCUUCGUUCAGAUUAUGAUUGAUUACAUAUAUGAACAACUUAAUAUCGAUAAAACAGUGUCCGGAAUUAAUUUAGAUUUGUGUGACAUAGAGGGCAACAUGAUGAAAUUGUUUUCUUACGAGAAACAUGAAUCUGGCAAAAAUAUAUUGGAAGAUCGUAAAACAUACUACGUUGUUCAAUAUAAACUUUUUUGAUUAAUUAAGUUUUUAGUUAAUGAUGAUGGUUCAUUUAGUUCAAUUGAGCCCAUGUUUCAUAACACAAAUAAAGAAGAACUAGAAUUAGUAAUAAAAGUAAAUAAAAACAUUAAAAAGCAAAUGGGUUCGAGACAAGCUUCUCAUUCUGCCAGUGUGAAAUCAGAAAUAAGGCGUAAAGAAUUUCUGACACAUAGUGCUAAAAGAUUUUCAACCAAAUAAAAUACUUUGUUUACUAAAAAA
Molecule: RNA transcript, 975 nt
Organism: Dalotia coriaria
Lineage: Eukaryota; Metazoa; Arthropoda; Insecta; Coleoptera; Staphylinidae
Exons: 5
Source: RefSeq, a predicted model, not a curated record